Long non-coding RNA from Canis lupus familiaris (dog), 2392 nucleotides. RefSeq lists it as uncharacterized. The transcript has 3 exons. NCBI's taxonomy places the organism in Eukaryota, Metazoa, Chordata, Mammalia, Carnivora, Canidae. The record is from RefSeq and is a predicted model, not a curated record.
GGCACCUCGAAGGUCCUCAGGCAUCCCCAAGCCCACAGUAGAUGGGAAUGGCACAGCUCCCCUCGCAAGCCAGGGACCAGGGAAGACCCAGCGCCCACCCCCCAGCACCACCAGAGCUUGCAGUCACUUCUAAAAAUGUCUAAACACCAAGGGUGGAAUUCAGAAGCCAAAAGCUCCCCCCAGUAAAAAAGCCUUGAUGUCCUGAACUGAACCCAAAAUGUGACGAUGUAGCCUAGACUGAGCAGAGCUGCCCUGUGGUCCUGGGACUCUAUCAAUCUCACAGGAGCAACCGCAGGCUGACGCCCCAGGGAGUUUCCUUCCAGAAGACGCUCACCCCACCUUCCCCACAACCUGCAUCCUCCUAAUAAUCAUCACAGCACCGUCUCCACUGAGCAAGACUCAUGUGCAGAUGUGGUUCCAGGGAUGGAACCUCAGGAUAGAAAUCUAGAUGGAGUUUGCUGAUCAGGUGAGAUCCGGAGGUGUGAACGGUCUGCAGCGCACAGCCGCAGCUAUCACUUGGGGUUACCUUGAUGCUUUGAUGACCAAGCGGCCCCCACGAACCAGGGCAGAAAACUUGCAGAGCCAGGGCCUGGGACGGAGAACCCCAGGGCUACGAAUCCCUCCCCGGGCCUCUGCAGGACAGACAGCCAUGCUGCCUGAAGGAAGCCCUUCUCCCCAGCAGCCCAAGGGUCACAGUGCCUGGAAACCAGUCUCUCGGCCUGGGCUGCCUCAGGGUGCCCAGCAAUGCCCCUGGAGCCCUGGCCCUGCGGGGUCUGGGCUGGCAAAGGGGCAGCCUUGGAAGAAGGCGGGGCAGAGUCCGGGAAGGGGAGGCCACUGACCCCCGGCUCUUCUGGGCACCUCUCACUCCCAACCCCUGUCCACCGGCUCCUUGUCUGCAGCACCUGUGCCCCCGCGGCCUCUCAUUGCUUUGGAACUGGAAACCCACCUAAAAUCUCCGGGGCCCAGGGGUCAAGUACAAACUGUGACCCAAGGGGACAGACCCCCGCACACAAGAAGACCUGCAGGAUUGCACACUGUUUAUGGACAGAGACAUGGGGGAUUUGUAGGGCGGUGACCCUAAGGGCCGCAGGCCAGGCUGCCCAGGGGGGACAGCUGCCCCGACGCUGGCUCUGCCUUUGUGGCAUUGGUUCGGGCGGUGAGAGCGGCUGGCAGUGUUCACGGAGCUGAUGGAAAUGCGGACAUCGCGGUUGCCUACAUUAAAUGGGAUCUGAAGGAAGGACGCCAAAGCUUAGGGAGAUAGGACUGUGGCAGGGGGUGGAUUUAUGUGCCCACCUGGUCAGGCCUGUUUCCCACCAGAGCCCAGAGAACAUCCCUUCCCCCGCCCUGAGACAGCCUCCCUUCCCACUUCCCAUGGGCACAGCAGUGGCCGGGGCGGUGCUGGCAGAGCCAGAGCGUGGCCCAGGCCCCUGGGGAAAGGUGCUCUGGGCCUGCAGGGCCACCCGCCAGGGCCUACCUCCGGCACGAGAGCUGGUGUGGACCCGCUCACAAACACAGCCCGUGAUCCUGGUGUUCCUGGGACCCCAGCAGACGGCCGACUCGAAUCUCACUUGAUUUGUAUAAUGAAGGGAACAACACCAAAAAGCCUGGAAAUGAAUAAAAACAAUGUGAAACCACCUGCAAGUCUGAUGGAGAUUUGACCUGCGCCAGUUCAGAGGCCCGAGACUGCCUGUGUGGAUGCGGCCACGCCACCAGAGCUGUGUACUGCCCGCCUCCUUCCUAACCUGCCCCAGAGGACCGACCAUCCGGGGCCACUGGCCAGCACGGCCAUACACCCUAGGACACACACCUGGGCCUCUUGGUGACUUCUGCAUGGUAGCUCAGGAGGGCCACAGGGGCCCACGAUCAGGAUGGGAAGCAGGGGAAGCAGGUGCCAGGAGUCUGGGCUCAAAACCUUGGGAGUCGGGCAUGGUGACCUGGUGGGACAGCUAGACCCUGUCGGAAUCAGUGAAUCAUCAUGCACUCACCAGCUGGUCCCAGAUGUGGUUUCUUUAGUGGGAAAAGGUCAGCCCAUCCUUUCUUGCUGAUUUGUGGCUCAUGAUCUGGGAGCCCAGUGGAGGCUGCCGCACAUAUGGCUUCACCCGGACAGAGCCACACUCUACUGAAGCCCUACUGUGUGCUCGGAAGGCCCUCGGCCACCAUCGUGCCUGCGGGUGACACCCCUGGACACGCGGGCCACUGCACUGAGCUGACGGGUAGUCCUAAUAGAAGGGAAGUGGUCACCGCUCCACUUCAGAGACAGGAAUGCCUGGGAUCUGGAACGUUCUCUGGGCUUUUCAGACUCUCCUUCCUGUGGCUAAAGAAAAGUCGUGGUCCACCUGGGGGAGAGGGGAUUUUUUUUGGAAGAGGGUCUUUAAAGAGCUAAUCAACUUAA